UACAGAGGGUGCGAGCGUUGUUCGGAAUUAUUGGGCGUAAAGGGUGCGUAGGCGGUUCCGCAAGUCCUGUGUGAAAUCUUCGGGCUCAACUCGAAGUCUGCACGGGAAACUGCGGGGCUUGAGUGUGGGAGAGGUGAGUGGAAUUCCCGGUGUAGCGGUGAAAUGCGUAGAUAUCGGGAGGAACCCCUGUGGCGAAAGCGGCUCACUGGACCAUAACUGACGCUGAUGCACGAAAGCUGGGGGAGCAAACAGG
This 253-nucleotide ribosomal RNA is filed under the name uncultured bacterium. RNAcentral describes it as "partial 16S ribosomal RNA". It matches the Rfam family "Bacterial small subunit ribosomal RNA", at positions 524 to 776 of the family's 1533-position model. The record is from RNAcentral.